This 343-nucleotide ribosomal RNA is filed under the name Thalassiosira minuscula. Its description in RNAcentral is "partial Bacterial small subunit ribosomal RNA". It matches the Rfam family "Bacterial small subunit ribosomal RNA", at positions 1198 to 1527 of the family's 1533-position model. Lineage: Eukaryota; Bacillariophyta; Thalassiosirophyceae; Thalassiosirales; Thalassiosiraceae. The record is from RNAcentral.
GCCCUUAUGGGUUGGGCUACACACGUGCUACAAUGAAAAUGACAAAAAGUAACAAUAAUAAAAAUUUUUAGUUAAUCUUAAAAAGUUUUCUUAGUUCGAAUUGUAAGCUGCAACUCGCUUACAUGAAGGUGGAAUCACAAGUAAUCGCAAAUCAGAAUGUUGCGGUGAAUACGUACCUUGGCUUUGUACACACCGCCCGUCACAUGCAGAAAGCUAGUUUUAUUUGAAGAUUAAAUUUUCUUUUAUUUUUUUUUUAAAAUAAAAAAGUUAGUUCAUUGAAAAAUUAGUAAUUUGGAUGAAGUCGUAACAAGGUAGCUGUACGGGAACGUGUAGCUGGAACACC